GACCCUGUAGCUCAGUUGGUAGAGCAUGGUGUUUGCAACACCAGGGUUGUGGGUUCGAUUCCCGCGGGGGGCC
Non-coding RNA from Salmo salar (Atlantic salmon), 73 nucleotides. The record is from Rfam. NCBI's taxonomy places the organism in Eukaryota, Metazoa, Chordata, Actinopteri, Salmoniformes, Salmonidae.